GUGGUCUUUGGUAGUGGCGGCACCUUGACCAGUGAACAACUCACUGAGUUAGCUUGGGGUCUCGAACUGAGUCAACAAAGGUUCAUUUUAGUGGCGCGCAAACCAAGUGACGCAAGUGCCUCAGCAGCAUUUUUCAACGUGGGAAGCGAUGAAAAUGACCCAUUACUGUACUUGCCUGAAGGAUUCGUUAGGAGAACAGAAGGGAGAGGCUUAGUGGUCCCAUCAUGGGCCCCACAAACAUUAA
This 244-nucleotide unclassified non-coding RNA is filed under the name Hevea brasiliensis (rubber tree). Lineage: Eukaryota; Viridiplantae; Streptophyta; Magnoliopsida; Malpighiales; Euphorbiaceae. The record is from RNAcentral.